This 253-nucleotide ribosomal RNA is filed under the name uncultured bacterium. RNAcentral's name for it is "partial 16S ribosomal RNA". It matches the Rfam family "Bacterial small subunit ribosomal RNA", at positions 524 to 776 of the family's 1533-position model. The record is from RNAcentral.
GACGAACCGUGCGAACGUUGUUCGGAAUCACUGGGCUUAAAGGGCGCGUAGGCGGCUUGCCAAGUCAGGGGUGAAAUCUUUCGGCUUAACCGGAAAAGUGCCUUUGAUACUGGCAGGCUAGAGGGAGGUAGGGGCAUGCGGAACUUCCGGUGGAGCGGUGAAAUGCGUUGAUAUCGGAAGGAACGCCGGUGGCGAAAGCGGCGUGCUGGACCUCUUCUGACGUUGAGGCGCGAAAGCUAGGGGAGCAAACGGG